AACAGAUAUGAGCACUAGAUCUCAUCGUGGCCGUCGUGGAGGUUCUAGCAGUGCGGCAUCAUCCCGUGCAGCAGCAUCCCGUGCAUCAUCACCCCGUGCAUCAUCGACUCCAGAUGUAGAGUUAGAGCAAACAACAUCUGAUGCAGUCUCAAACAAUGAUGGAAGGAUACCUCUUUCGAGGACGCCUGAAGGGGGGUUGGUAUUGCACAAGGACUUCUCCAGGGUAAUUGGCAAAUCUUUUAGGAGGAUUCCAAACCUGACAGGUAUCAAUUGGAAGGCUACUCCAGGCGACGUCAAGGAUCUAUAUUUUGAGGAGUUUCGGGUAAGCACUUUUUUGCAUAUAUUCACUACUUGACAUCACAUUUAAUAGAAAUUGCAUGAUUGCUCAAUUUGACCAAUAUAUGUUUUAAUAGAAAUACUACUCAUGGGAUGAGAGAUGGGAGGAUGAAGUACGCCGGCUUUGGAAAAAUAGGGCGGGUAGCAGGUUUCCUGACUUUCUAUAUGAGGUCAGAGCUUGUAGGAAACCCGAUGAUAAAGGGAAGUCGGGUUACAUAUGUGAUGAUCAAUGGAAGGCAUUAUGAACAUAUUGGGAUACUCCUGAGGCCAUCCAGAAGUCUAAACGUGCAAGCAAGGCUAGAUUGUCUGAGCCAGAUGGACCCGGCACUGGAAUAAGCAAACAUCGGGGUGGCUCGAAGUCUGUUGCUGUGAGAGCUCAUGAGAUGGCGAGAGUGAAGGCGAUUGCCGAGCAGCAAGGAGAGAGUGCUGAUUUGAGUCAGAUAUAUGUGGAUGAGGUGAUGGGAGGUCGCCUCGAUAAGAAGAAGAGGAUGUUCGGCACUGGUACUCUUGCACGGAGUCUCGUGGGCGGUACAUCAUAGACUUUCCAUUCACAGCAGGUUGAUGCUCGAAUUGAAGAGCUACAGCAGCAGCUUCAGGAGGAGCGCGAGUAUAGACAGCAGCAGCUUCAGGAGGAGCGGGAGCAUACACAACAGCAGCUUCAGGGGGAGCAUGAGCAUACACUCCAGCAGCUUCAGACGGAGCAUGAUCAGAGAGUUCGAUUGGAGGAGUCACUUAGGGUAACUAAUGAGAUGCUCCAGCAGUUCUUGAGGUCCCAGCAGUCGAGGAGUAGUGGCUCAGGAGGUUCUUAGCUUUUGUGUAGUAUGUUUGGUACAUUUUGAUACAUUAUUAUGAUAUUUCGCUUAGAUGUAGUUUAUUUAGUACUUUUUAUGUUAUUGUGUUAUUUACAUAUAAACAUAUUGUUGGAUAUUGAACAAUGUCGAAUGAAUUUUAAAUUAUGUUUAGAUUA
This is a long non-coding RNA of Salvia miltiorrhiza (redroot sage), 1303 nucleotides long. RefSeq lists it as uncharacterized. The transcript has 3 exons. NCBI's taxonomy places the organism in Eukaryota, Viridiplantae, Streptophyta, Magnoliopsida, Lamiales, Lamiaceae. The record is from RefSeq and is a predicted model, not a curated record.